CUCCCUUUGAGAGCAUUCACCAGAAUGAUCUUGAUCAGAUUAACCGGGGUUGGGUGCCAACUGCCUAGGGAUUAGGACACAGAAGAGAAGGGCACCAAGGAAGGCAGAAGAAACAGCACAACAACUGCCUGAGCUACAUGAUGACUCCAUCCCCAGUUGCAGCAGAACCUGCCUACUGCUCCCUGAACUCAUCAUGCCCAUGGAUGGCCGCCUAUUACAAACACUUGUGACUGAAGAAGUCAGCAGAGAUGUUCUGAAGAUGUAGAUUCCAUUCUGAAAGAAAAGUGAAGUUUGAACCACACUUCGAGAAGUGCCAACUGCAGGGAGGGUGAAAGGCUAGUCCUCCAGUUCCCUGGGAUGAAUGUGGGCACAAGAAGUAAAUGUUACUGAAGAUGAUCAACUUUGACAUUGUCACAUGGUGGAAAGGGGAUUUGAGGUUAUAAAAGGGCUUGGAAGAUAUAAAACCAUUACUGUAUACAGUGCCCACUGACUCAAAAAAUAUCUGAA
RNAcentral lists this long non-coding RNA (507 nucleotides) under Bos indicus x Bos taurus (hybrid cattle). RNAcentral's name for it is "lncRNA (ENSBIXG00005018556.1)". Lineage: Eukaryota; Metazoa; Chordata; Mammalia; Artiodactyla; Bovidae. The record is from RNAcentral.